Molecule: non-coding RNA, 1206 nt
Organism: Camellia sinensis
Lineage: Eukaryota; Viridiplantae; Streptophyta; Magnoliopsida; Ericales; Theaceae
Source: RefSeq, a predicted model, not a curated record
CCUAUUCCACGAAUUCAACGAAAUCAUUUUCCCUUUGUUCAUCAUCACAUAUUCCACUUCCAAUCUUGCCUACACUGAAACACUAAUUUUCAGGCCUUGGUUGGUCACUCAACAACCUAUCUCCUUAUGAGGAUGUAAAAAUCCGGCUACAAAUGGGAAGGGUUCAGUGCUUUCCAGGAACCAGUCCUCAGGCUUCAGAAUCACCACAAUCUUGCCUUCAACAACACUACAUACAGCCAUCGACGUAAUUUUUUAUCUUUUGAUCCAUAGUUGGGUCAAUGAUUAUAUUGAGAUGGUUCUUAGAGAGGUUUCCUAUCAACUCAAAGGUUUUGGGAGAAUGAAAAGUAGUGUGAGAUUGAUUUAAGGAGUGACACAGAGGUCAUGCAGCAGAUAAGAGUUCCUGCUAGAAGACUGUUAUUUGAAAAGGCCAAGAAGACUAUUUUUAGGUAAUUAAUUCGUAGUUUUUACAUGUAUUUCCCUUUGCAAUUUCUCAGUCCUCAUUGUGUAGUUCCAUCAUAUAUCAAGUGCUCAGUGAUGAUGACCAUUCUGUAUUAUACCUACUUACAGAUCAAUUUACCAUAUAGUUUGAAUUGCAUUUCAAGGGUUAUUGCAGCUCUCAUCUUUUCUUUUGUUUUUAUUUUAUUUAUUUUGUGCACAAUCUAUAUUGUAUAUUGUGAAUACAAUGUAUAAAUAAAAAAAAUUUCAUUCUACAUGCACUUGGAAAUUUCAUAAUUUCUGAUCUUUCUAGCCUUCUUGACAUGGUAUGCAAGAGUAUGUAGAUUUUCCAAUCAUUCAAGUUUAUUGAAGUUGUGUUAAUGGAAUUGGAUGAUUCAGGUAUAUACCUUUGGUUUUUUGGUGCCUCCUUUGGUUUUUGUCAAAAAUCUAGCAGAACUCCUGAGUUUAUUGUCUUGUUACAUGACUAGGUGACCAAGAAUUUGAAAGAUAUUCAAGGACCUGCCUUCGCUAUUGUUCUUGAACGACUCAAGCACUCUGGGGCUUUUCAAGUGGCUAAAACAAUAUCGAUGGGGCCAUCAUUGAAAAGUGGAUCAAAAGUUGGGAAAAGUGGAUCAAAAGUUCACGAACCAGACGAGCACCCUCCCCAACAUAUUUCUUAACAAGUUCACGAAGCCAAAUUGUACAAGACUACUUGGCAGUAUAAGCAUUUUUGGGAGGAUUAAAUAUUUUUGGAUGGAUGUGUAUGGAUAA